UACGGGGGGGGCAAGCGUUGUUCGGAAUUACUGGGCGUAAAGGGCUCGUAGGCGGCCAACUAAGUCAUACGUGAAAUCCCUCGGCUUAACCGGGGAACUGCGUCUGAUACUGGAUGGCUUGAGUUCGGGAGAGGGAUGCGGAAUUCCAGGUGUAGCGGUGAAAUGCGCAGAUAUCAGGAGGAACACCGGUGGCGAAGGCGGGUCUCUGGGCAACAACUGACGCUGAGGAGCGAAAGCGUGGGGAGCGAACAGG
Molecule: ribosomal RNA, 253 nt
Filed under: uncultured bacterium
Lineage: Bacteria
Description: partial 16S ribosomal RNA
Rfam family: Bacterial small subunit ribosomal RNA
Source: RNAcentral